This is a long non-coding RNA of Dermacentor silvarum, 945 nucleotides long. RefSeq lists it as uncharacterized. The record is from RefSeq and is a predicted model, not a curated record. The transcript has 4 exons. NCBI's taxonomy places the organism in Eukaryota, Metazoa, Arthropoda, Arachnida, Ixodida, Ixodidae.
AGUUUCUAAAUACCACGGCACCAAUAUGGACUGUUUUUGGUUCACCUGGUGUCAUUUGCAAAGUAGACUGAAAUAAAUAAUGAAAGCGACACUACAGUUUACCUGAACAGGACAUACACUAGCGGCCCUCGAAGCAACACGUCCUGGGUGCUUAAAGGACUGUUUUCUAACAUUGCUAGCGACACUGGUCAUCACACCGUGGUUCUUUAUCACACAGAAAUGAAAAAUGUCUUCGUUUCACGGGAAACCUUGCUGUAUAAAGGUGAAAGAAGCAUUUGUGGCAUCUUUAGGAGAGAGGGUCCAAUUUCAGGCACUAUCUGCGAAGUGCGUGUAAGAGGGUCGGACGAACUUGUGGAGGCUGCAGACUGCCUAAACAUGUUUUUCCACUACUGCAGACGCACGUACAGGUACAUCGAAGUUUGUGGUGCGCCGUCACCAUCUGUGGUCAUUGCUGGCACCAAGUUAGGUUGAGCUUUACAGCAGUGUACAAGGAAAUACUUCCCAGAAACCACCGAUCAAGAGAAAAAAAUUCUUCCCAUAUCAAGGACUAUUCACUUUAAAUUUAGUCUUCCACUUUAAACUCGUCAGAAAUUCGCGGAAUGUAUGUUGUUCAUUGCCAAUGUAACCACACAAAAAUAAACAUGUUGAAGCCAGAACCAUUUGAGAAAAUCUAUUUACAUACCUGAAUUAAUGGCGGUGCAUUUUUGUCGUUAACCGGAACUGUGCUGCUAUGAUCAGGGCCCAAAAUUGAGUAAAUCGUGGUUACUAGAUGGAUUUCAUUUUCUCAGGUGCUGUGUGAUGUGUUCAAUUGGCCGCUACUGGUUGGCUUGUGUGUUCUCCUGCGGCGUCACCGCACUUUACGACUUAAUAAUUCCUCUCAAAUACACAGUCACAAUGGUGCUCAAUACUUGAGUUCUGGUCUUUGUAAAAACCCGGAAGGUAUGU